Molecule: small RNA, 3116 nt
Filed under: Pan troglodytes (chimpanzee)
Lineage: Eukaryota; Metazoa; Chordata; Mammalia; Primates; Hominidae
Description: retained intron
Source: RNAcentral
ACUUCCCUCCCUCCCUCUCUCCCCAGCUGCCUCCUCCUCUUCUCUCCCCGCUCUCCUUCCCCUUUCACCCCAUCCCCUGCCCUGGCUGCAACCAUGAGGGUCUUGGCCUGCCUCCUUGCGGCCCUGGUGGGGAUCCAGGCUGUUGGUAAGUGCCCAGACUCCUCCCAUCUGCCCCCCUCCCCGCACCAGGCCUCCCCCUUCUGCCCAUCCAGGCCUGGCCUCACCCACACUGGGUCCCCGGCCCAUCCAAAUUCCACUGUGACCUUGGCCCCAGCUCCACAAGGGAAUCCCCCAGGUGUCUGGCCGCAUCUCUCUGAGCACCCAGGAGUCUGGGCCCAGGGGCCAGUGAGCAGGGCCACUGGCCUACAGACAGUACCUGCAGGACAGCCACCUGCCCCUACAGUUGCCCUGGCCUUAGGGCCCCCAGGAUGCCCCUCCCCAGUCACAGCCAUUCCUCCAACCCUCAGAGCGCCUGCGCCUGGCCGAUGGCCCCCAUGGGUGCGCUGGCCGCCUGGAGGUCUGGCAUGGCGGGCGCUGGGGCACCGUGUGUGAUGACGGCUGGGACCUGCGUGAUGCCGCCGUGGCCUGCCGGCAGCUGGGCUGCGGAGGGGCACUGGCCGCCCCGGGAGGCGCCUUCUUCGGGGAGGGGGCAGGGCCUGUGUGGCUCAGCGAGCUGGCUUGCCGGGGCAACGAGGGGCAGCUGGGCCUCUGCCACCACCGGGGCUGGAAGGCCCACAUCUGCUCCCAUGAGGAAGACGCGGGCGUCGUCUGCGCAGGUCAGCGCGUGGCUAACUCCAGGGAUGACUCAACAUCUCCCCUGGAUGGGGCUCCCUGGCCAGGGCUGUUGCUGGAGCUGAGCCCCAGCACGGAGGAGCCCCUGGUGACACAUGCCCCCCGCCCAGCUGGGAACCCCCAGAACGCCUCCCGGAAGAAGAGCCCCCGGCCCAAGCAGGCCAAGUCCACCCGGGCCCCUCUGCUGACGACAGGAGCCCCCCGCCAAGAGCGGCUGCGCCUGGUCUCUGGCCCCCACAGGUGCGCCGGACGCCUGGAGGUCUGGCACGGCGGGCGCUGGGGCACCGUAUGUGACGACGGCUGGGACCUACGCGACGCUGCUGUAGCCUGCCGGGAACUGGGCUGUGGGGGGGCGCUGGCUGCCCCCGGCGGUGCCAGAUUCGGGCCUGGUGCAGGGCCCGUGUGGAUGGACGAUGUGGGGUGUGGAGGAGGAGAACAGGCCCUCCGAGACUGCCCCCGAAGCCCCUGGGGCCGGAGCAACUGUGACCACAGCGAGGAUGCGGGGCUGGUCUGCACCGGUACGUCGGGCUGGGGCCUGGCCCCCUCCUGUCUUCCUCAGACCCCAGCUUCCUCUUGCCCCUCCAGGAAGCUGCAGCGGGCCUGCUCCCAGCUCUGCCUCCUGCCCGCCUGCUCUCUGCAUGCCCAGCGCCCACUCACCACGCUCUCCAGCCCCUCCUUCCACAGCUCCUGCCGUUCUCCUUGCCAGGAAUGGGAGGAGCAGGCUUGAGCCUUGGGCUAGUACUCAGCCCUGUCCCGGGGCCUAGGCCAGUGACCGUUUGUUUAAGCCUCAGUUUUCCUGAAGGAGCGAUGGAGCUAAGAAUGCCUGCCUCAGGCUUGAACCAAGUCCUGGAACGCAAGAAGCCCUGCCUGCCCUCUGCCACUGGGCUGGCCACGGCAGGGGACCCUCUCGGAGACCCCUUGUCUCUGUGGCCAACCUCUGCUCCUUCCCCAUCCUCAAGGGAGCUGGUGGGAAGGAGGGAGGGAGGGCGGUGACUUGGGGGCAUGGAGGGAGACUGAGGCAGGGUGGGGACACCCACGGGUGAGCCUCCAUCUCCCCUCAUUCACGCCCCCUCAGCACGGGGUCUCCUCCCCUCAUGUCUCCCAGGGGGGUCCCUCCCCUCUCCUGUCCCCCCUUGGACCUGGGAUAGAACCCAGCAAACAGCUGUUGGGGGGUGUUAGGUGAGAGCUCAGGGGCUCCCUCCCUCCUUCUUUCCUUCCUUCCUCCCUCCCUCUUUCCCUUUCUCUUUCCUUUCUUUCCUUCCACAAAUCUUUACACACCACCACGGCAGGGCCUGGAAACCACAGGAGAAAGGCCAGGCCCCACCCUGCUGGACUGCCCGAUCCAUUGACUGUAGGAGGCCGGCAGGCAGAGGGCACCCACCUGGCAUUUCAUCGGCGUUGGGGUGGGGACAGUACAGGGGCUGCAGGCAAAGCUGGGUGCCUGCCCAGGACGGGUAGGAAAUGCUGACAUCAGUGGGUAUCCAGGGGGAAGAGAAGAGAGAAAGAGGCUGACCCUAGUCUCUGCUGUAUGCUGGGCCCUGCGCUGUGCACGUUACCUGGAGCCGCUCUGAGCCUCCCGCAGCCCGGACGGGGUGGAUCCUCAUCCCUCUCUUCACAGAUGUGGGGCCGAGGCUCAGAGAGGUGACGUAAAUGGCCCAAGACCCAGGUGCCUAGCAAGCCCCAGCCCCAGCCGCUGACCCUUCUGGGUCUGUAUAGACCCACGCUCCAUGCCUGUCCCACUGCACAGUCGGCCAUAGGGACGUGGUGGGGACACGGAGGUCAGAGUGGGAGUGAGCAGCAGAGAAGGCUUGUAUGGGGUGGGGGUGGUGCCUUCGUGUGCCUAGUGUACAAGCUGUGGGGGAAGAAGUGGGACCUUCAGAGCAGAGUUCAUUGGAGGGAAGUUGAGGCUCUGGAGAGGAGAGGGUGAAGGUGCCAAGAAAGGAAACAAAUGAACUAAGGCGCCCGGUGAAGCUGGGAGCUUCGCCAGCAUCUGAUUUAAUUCUCAUGGCAACCCUGGGAGGGAGACGCUCCCCUCCCCUGUCUGCAGAUGAGGAAAAGCAGACAGGUGUGUUAGACUCCUCCCUAGUUCUGUGCUCUUCUCUAGAACAGUGACUGGGGGCAAUUCUGCACCUGCCUCGUUGGGGGACAGAGAGAGGGACUCCAGAGUCCUCCAAUGAUGACUCAACUCUUACCCCAACAGAAAUGUACCCGAAGAGCCAGGCAUGGUUACAGGCUCACACCUGUAGCCCACGUGCUUUGGGAGGAUUUCUUGAGGCCGGGAGUUCAAGACCAGUCUGGGCAACAUAGUGAGACCCUUUCCCUAC